Molecule: long non-coding RNA, 712 nt
Filed under: Physcomitrium patens
Lineage: Eukaryota; Viridiplantae; Streptophyta; Bryopsida; Funariales; Funariaceae
Description: long non-coding RNA (PPAT_LNC012973)
Source: RNAcentral
UGAUCUAAAAAUCAAAAAAUUGUUAUAUUAUUAAAUUCAAAAAUCCUAUCUUAUUUUAUAGGUAAAUACUUGUGAUUGCUCAUUUUACUUAUUUCGGAAGAAACCUCCUAGAAUAAACCCGUGUAAGAGGAUUCGAAUACGAGAAAUGCCUAGUUACUUAAGCGUUCACGUUAGGGUCACACAAUCAAUUAUCUCCUGAAUGUAUCGUCUCUAUUUCCAAUAUCCGAACACACAAGGAAACUAUAAUCUCCUCCUUCACCUUAUUGGACUCUUCCUUAUAGCAAUUCAGUUAUACCAAUAACUGCUAUUUCCACCAAUAUAUUCACUCUCAUAAUCUCCAACUGUAAUACUACGCCUUCAUAGCUUUCAGCACACAAUUACCCUCAUUCCAAUCACUGGAAUUCUUCACACAGAACUACUAUUCACAUUACAGUGUUUCACACAAACACAGAGCCAUUCUCUCUGCUGAACUACAAUCAGAUUUCCGCAUUCAAUCUUUCUUCUUCUCAAAUAAUACCAAUCACAUUUCCAUUCCAUAAUUCACUUCACAAUAUUCAGAAACUAUCAAUCUUCUUAUUCAAAGAAAAUAACAAAUAAAAGAAAAGAGGUAGCACCAAGCUUAUCCCAGCUCACACUAUCACAGCGAUGGCCCUUGGCUCAUGACUCUCACAGUCUGGCACCCUAAUUAACUUCUACAAUUCUUAUAUACUUU